This is a long non-coding RNA of Myotis davidii, 539 nucleotides long. RefSeq lists it as uncharacterized. The transcript has 4 exons. NCBI's taxonomy places the organism in Eukaryota, Metazoa, Chordata, Mammalia, Chiroptera, Vespertilionidae. The record is from RefSeq and is a predicted model, not a curated record.
ACCCCUUAGACAGAGUGGUGCAGACACCAGAAAUGCCUUGAGCACCAAGUCUGUGCUGAUGUCCAGCUCCUGGAGGGCUCGGGCUACGCACUGCAGCCACCAGAGGGGACCCAUCUGCAGAGUGGCAGGCGGAAUAGGCCUCCCAGGGCAGCUGGAUGCCCACCUGGCCACAAAGCCAUUCUUCAGCCUCACACUUACCUCUUCUGAAGGGUAACCAGGUGUGGUUUCCACCCAGCCCAGCUGCCUGCCUUGGGAGGCAGCAGAGACUGUCACCCUCUGCUGGCCAAUUCCUGUUACUGCAGAAGGAGGUAAAGUGGCCUCAGCAUGGGCAGAGCAGCAGAGAGGAGCCAGUUACUCAAAGGGCAGAUACUCCAUGGAAGCCUCCAGCACAAGCAGUCAACCCCUAAAGCCUCCAACGGAGUUUCUCACUGGAGUGGCUUCAGGAAAUGCAAAUCGAAUGUCUGUAGUGGUAUUUAAAGACAUGAAGGGUUUCGAUGUGUGUUCAACUGAAAAUAUGAAUAAAUGUCUUUUGGGAUGUA